RNAcentral lists this ribosomal RNA (490 nucleotides) under uncultured bacterium. RNAcentral's name for it is "partial 16S ribosomal RNA". It matches the Rfam family "Bacterial small subunit ribosomal RNA", at positions 30 to 507 of the family's 1533-position model. The record is from RNAcentral.
AUUGAACGCUGGCGGCAGGCCUAACACAUGCAAGUCGAACGGUAACAGGGAUCAGCUUGCUGAUUCGCUGACGAGUGGCGGACGGGUGAGUAAUGUCUGGGAAACUGCCUGAUGGAGGGGGAUAACUACUGGAAACGGUAGCUAAUACCGCAUAACGUCGCAAGACCAAAGAGGGGGACCUUCGGGCCUCUUGCCAUCGGAUGUGCCCAGAUGGGAUUAGCUAGUAGGUGGGGUAACGGCUCACCUAGGCGACGAUCCCUAGCUGGUCUGAGAGGAUGACCAGCCACACUGGAACUGAGACACGGUCCAGACUCCUACGGGAGGCAGCAGUGGGGAAUAUUGCACAAUGGGCGCAAGCCUGAUGCAGCCAUGCCGCGUGUAUGAAGAAGGCCUACGGGUUGUAAAGUACUUUCAGCGGGGAGGAAGGGAGUAAAGUUAAUACCUUUGCUCAUUGACGUUACCCGCAGAAGAAGCACCGGCUAACUCCGUG